Non-coding RNA from Hydra vulgaris (swiftwater hydra), 1674 nucleotides. NCBI's taxonomy places the organism in Eukaryota, Metazoa, Cnidaria, Hydrozoa, Anthoathecata, Hydridae. The record is from RefSeq and is a predicted model, not a curated record.
ACUCGGCUUUUUAUUUUUUUAAGGUAACCGUUACAAAAGAAAAUGUUGCAAAUAUUAUAGAUGAUUUAAAUUAUAUUUUGUUUAAUAGAAGUCGUACACUUACAUCAGAUAUUUUGCGAGUUUCAAGUAUUAAAAAUAAUGUUAUCAAUAUUAAUUCUUCAUCAGAUCAGGUUACAAAUGGCAUCUUAUUAACUAUAGACAGUCUAUUAAGUUUGAAUAGAGAAUUAGUUAAACAAGCAAAUCAAAUACUAAAUUUAUCAGCAGUAUUCUUAUCUCAACUGAACAUUUUGGCUGAGCAACAAACCUCUAAUUUUACUAAAGCGAUGAAAAUAUAUUGGUUUUACAUUAUAUACUUCUUUAGAAAUUAGUAAACCUAUAUAUAUUUAUUCUCUUGAAAUGAAAGAUAACAUCAGUGUAAGUAUAUCAAGCGAUGAUCCUAGAGAUGAAUAUACAAACUUAGAAGACUACAUAAUUCUUCCUUCACAACUUUUCAGUGAGCGAAGUCAAAUCAAAGUUUAUUCAUAUAUAUUUUGAGACAAAACAUUUUUUGAAGAAAGAAACUAAAUUAUAGAUAGUGUGAUUUUCUGCCACCAUAAGUGAUGUUUAUGUAAAUAAAUCCAACCAUCUAAUAAAAAUGAAGUUUUCUAAUCAGAAAAUUAUUUUUGGUUUCAAAUCAUGUCAGUUCUACAAUGUUGAAAAACAAAUUUGGUCAUCUGAUGGAUGUUACACCACCAAUUUAUUAUUAUCAGAAAUCUAUUGUCAAUGUAAUCACCUCACAAACUUUGCACUGAUAUUAGAUGUUUAUCAAUCAGGCAACAACCCUGUUAUUCUCAGCAAUGUUUCACUGACUGGUUUUAUAGUAUCAAUUGCUGAAUUAAUUAUGACUAUUAUAAGCUAUGCUGCUUUUCCAAAAUUACGAUAAAAACGCGCUCCAAAAAUACUUAUUAUUUUGUGUGUAAAUCUGAUGACUACGCUUAUUUUGUUUCAUGUUUUUGCGGAACGGACCAAGCCUCCUGUUUUAUGCAAGGUUGUUGCUUCGUUGUUACAGUUUUUUAUUUUGUCGACAUUUUUCUGGAUGGCUGUUAAAGGUUUUAAUUUAUAUAGAAUAUUUGUAAAAGUUUUUAACAAUUCACGUUCACGUACGUUUUUAUUGAAGUCAUCCUUGUUUGCAUGGGGCAUACCUCUAAUAUUCACCAUAUCAACUGCUGCUAGUAAAACUGAUUACCAUAAAACUCAAACUAAAAGCGUUCCCGAGAUCAGGUGCAACUGUAAAAAAAAUGUUCGAAGUGCAUUUGUAUGCUCUUUAUUACUUGGUACAACUUGGAUAUUUGCAGUGUUAGCUUACGGAGAUGCGCGAGAUGUAUUUCAAUGGUUGUUUUUGUAUUUUUAAUUCGUUGCAAGGCUUUUUUAUUUUUGUUGUAUAUAUUUUGCAAAGUCAGCAGGUUAAAGACCAUUGGGUCUCUUAUAUAAAAGAAAAAUGGAGUUUAAUGAGGAAAGAAUCUGGUUAAUUUCAUCUUUCAAUUGUUUAUUCUUUAUUUAUAUUUUUUCAUUUAUUUAUUUUAUGAUUCUGAUUAUUUUAAAGAUUUUCAAAUCAAAAUUUCCUAUAGUCCAGGUCAUUGUCAAUUACUUUUUGUAACUGUUUAAAAUAUAUUACUCAUAAGUUUUAUUUUUCUA